Molecule: long non-coding RNA, 1623 nt
Organism: Brachypodium distachyon (stiff brome)
Lineage: Eukaryota; Viridiplantae; Streptophyta; Magnoliopsida; Poales; Poaceae
Exons: 7
Source: RefSeq, a predicted model, not a curated record
UCCUCCCACCCCUCGCGCCCCUCCUCUGCCCACCACGCCCGCUCACCAGCCGUCGCUCAGAGUCUUCCGGAUCCUCAAUUCCGUGACACCGUAAAGAUACUUUGAGUAUGUCAUCUCCCAAAAACAACGGAGCCACAUGGAGACCAUUCCAUGAUAUAAGCAACACCAACCCCGAGGGUAGUACUCCAUCCUUAGGUCUAAAAUUGUGGCAUUUAUAAACAUGUGCGAGCCAGAAGAACAAAGAAUAUUAUGCCCAAAAUAGAGAUGCUAUACUGAGGAGGCGGCGUGAAGCCCUUGAGAAGAAACAAGCUUCAGUUGCUAUGCUCAAGGACACGGAAAUGUCACCACAUACACCCAUGUCCAAGGCCGAAGGUGAGUCUCAUGGAGAGCACACCCCAAUUCAAGACAUCGGCACCAACCACAACUCAGGUAGCCGUCAGCAAUUCAGCUCAGUUGCUGCAGCAGUUGCUGCUCAAGGCGUUUAAGAUUUACAGACAAGAAGCACCUGGAUGUGAUCACUUGUGAAGGUCCACCCUAUUCAACAGUGGAAAGAGUAGUAUUCAGUUUUACCUUGUUAUGCUUUUUAGUAUUUUUUUUCUUCCAACAUACAUUAGUGUUUGUUGCCUUCCUGAGAUCUUGGUAGUUAUGAAGAAGUAAAAGCAAAGGGGUUAGGAAAUUUCAACAAAGAACUCAAGAUAUGAUAGAUAGGGUCAUUGUAUAGUGAAAGGAAAAUUCAGAGGGCGCUCAACCAGAAAUGGAACUAUGAAGACGCAAAACUCUACACAGGGUUUACAUAAGAGGAGGAGGAGAAUGAUUAGAAGCCGGAGCAAUGGGAGAUUUGGAGCUGCUGAUCUGCUGCAUGGGGCCCCGCCGUGGCCACCAUGGAUGAUGAGGCUGAAAUAGUAGCAAUGGAGCCGUUCAAAACCAAGAGCUGCGUCUCAAGGAACAUGGGCAUGGCCAUGUAGUCAACGUCCGCCGCCGUCGCAUCCUCACGGUGAGGCAUGCGACCAGGUCCUCCAUUCUGUCUCAUCCUCAUGGUGGACGCUAUUGUUGUUCAGAAAUACUGCGUAUUUGAUUAAAGGAACUCACCUACUGAGGCAUCAACAUUGCUGAUCUCCACGGAAGGAAGCACAUGGCUUCGACAAGAUCCAAAGAACACUGCUUAUAACUGAACUUUCAACUUUUACAGCUAAAACAAGUCGAAAGGGCUGCAGAACUGAACUGGGUAUCACUGCUGGGUGUGGAAUUGAUGGUGCUUAAACUCUCAGCCUUUUUUUCUAAAUGUUAUCCAUAUUCACCUGGCAUGGCAGAGCAUGAACUUAUCCAAUAAUUCAGUGUCCAAAUGAACCAGAAUCUGUCACACAUACCAAUCCAACACAGGCUGCAAUGCUUAAAGGUACUUCAUCAGAGGUCAACAUGAGAAUUUCACUGGUAACACUACCAGCAGUUGCUGCUCAAGGCGUUUAGGAUUUGGAUGGUUGUGUCUUUUUUUAGAUCACGCGUACGUAUUAAUGCUUCCUUCCAUUCGGAAACAUGGAGUUUCUAUACUUGAAAAUUUUGUUGGUCUUUCAACAAGAUUUGUUCUAUUUCUCUGUACAAUAAUAGUGGAUAAUAUUGUGGAGU